This 536-nucleotide ribosomal RNA is filed under the name uncultured bacterium. RNAcentral describes it as "bacterial SSU rRNA". It matches the Rfam family "Bacterial small subunit ribosomal RNA", at positions 28 to 518 of the family's 1533-position model. The record is from RNAcentral.
GAUGAACGCUGGCGGCGUGCCUAAUACAUGCAAGUCGAACGCACUGUGGUUGAAAUGAGAUAAGAAGCUUGCUUCGAAUUAAUUUUCAACAUUGCAGUGAGUGGCGAACGGGUGAGUAACACGUGGGAAACCUACCUCUUAGCAGGGGAUAACAUUUGGAAACAGAUGCUAAUACCGUAUAACAAUAGAAACCGCAUGGUUUCAAUUUAAAAGAUGGUUCUGCUAUCACUAAGAGAUGGUCCCGCGGUGCAUUAGUUAGUUGGUGAGGUAAAGGCUCACCAAGACGAUGAUGCAUAGCCGAGUUGAGAGACUGAUCGGCCACAAUGGGACUGAGACACGGCCCAUACUCCUACGGGAGGCAGCAGUAGGGAAUCUUCCACAAUGGACGAAAGUCUGAUGGAGCAACGCCGCGUGUGUGAUGAAGGGUUUCGGCUCGUAAAACACUGUUGUAAGAGAAGAAUGACAUUGAGAGUAACUGUUCAGGCAGUGACGGUAUCCAACCAGAAAGGAACGGCUAAAUACGUGCCAGCCGCCGC